This 253-nucleotide ribosomal RNA is filed under the name uncultured bacterium. RNAcentral's name for it is "partial 16S ribosomal RNA". It matches the Rfam family "Bacterial small subunit ribosomal RNA", at positions 524 to 776 of the family's 1533-position model. The record is from RNAcentral.
UACGUAGGGCGCAAGCGUUAUCCGGAAUUAUUGGGCGUAAAGAGCUCGUAGGCGGUUUGUCGCGUCUGCUGUGAAAACCCGGGGCUCAACCCCGGGCCUGCAGUCGAUACGGGCAGACUAGAGUGCGGUAGGGGAGACUGGAAUUCCUGGUGUAGCGGUGAAAUGCGCAGAUAUCAGGAGGAACACCGGUGGCGAAGGCGGGUCUCUGGGCCGUAACUGACGCUGAGGAGCGAAAGCGUGGGGAGCGAACAGG